RNAcentral lists this transfer RNA (71 nucleotides) under Camelus bactrianus (Bactrian camel). It matches the Rfam family "tRNA". From Rfam's summary of the family: Transfer RNA (tRNA) molecules are approximately 80 nucleotides in length. Lineage: Eukaryota; Metazoa; Chordata; Mammalia; Artiodactyla; Camelidae. The record is from Rfam by way of RNAcentral. RNAcentral also lists the same sequence under 2 other names.
GCGCGUCUAGCUCAGUCGUAGAGCGCGUGCCUAGCAUGCACAAGGCCCUGGGUUCAAUCCCAGUACCUUCU